This 465-nucleotide ribosomal RNA is filed under the name uncultured bacterium. Its description in RNAcentral is "bacterial SSU rRNA". It matches the Rfam family "Bacterial small subunit ribosomal RNA", at positions 338 to 795 of the family's 1533-position model. The record is from RNAcentral.
CCUACGGGUUGCAGCAGUGGGGAAUAUUGCACAAUGGGCGCAAGCCUGAUGCAGCCAUGCCGCGUGUAUGAAGAAGGCCUUCGGGUUGUAAAGUACUUUCAGCGAGGAGGAAGGCGUUAAGGUUAAUAACCUUAGCGAUUGACGUUACUCGCAGAAGAAGCACCGGCUAACUCCGUGCCAGCAGCCGCGGUAAUACGGAGGGUGCAAGCGUUAAUCGGAAUUACUGGGCGUAAAGCGCACGCAGGCGGUUUGUUAAGUCGGAUGUGAAAUCCCCGGGCUCAACCUGGGAACUGCAUUCGAAACUGGCAAGCUUGAGUCUUGUAGAGGGGGGUAGAAUUCCAGGUGUAGCGGUGAAAUGCGUAGAGAUCUGGAGGAAUACCGGUGGCGAAGGCGGCCCCCUGGACAAAGACUGACGCUCAGGUGCGAAAGCGUGGGGAGCAAACAGGAUUAGAUACCCGCGUAGUC